This 440-nucleotide ribosomal RNA is filed under the name uncultured bacterium. Its description in RNAcentral is "partial 16S ribosomal RNA". It matches the Rfam family "Bacterial small subunit ribosomal RNA", at positions 338 to 795 of the family's 1533-position model. The record is from RNAcentral.
CCUACGGGUGGCAGCAGUGGGGGAUAUUGCACAAUGGUGGAAACCCUGAUGCAGCGACGCCGCGUGAGUGAAGAAGUAUUUCGGUAUGUAAAGCUCUAUCAGCAGGGAAGAAAAUGACAGUACCUGACUACGAUGCCCCGGUUAACUACGUGCCAGAAGCCGCGGUAAUCCGUAGGGGGCAAGCGUUAUCUGGAUUUACUGGGUGUAUAGGGAGCGUAGACGGUGAUGUAAGUCUGGAGUGAAAGCCCGGGGCCCAACCCCGGGACUGUUUUGGAAACUGUGUAACUUGAGUACAGGAGGGGCAAGCGGAAUUCCGGGUGUAGCGGUGAAAUGCGUAGAUAUCAGGAGGAACACCAGCGGCGAAGGCGGCCUGCUGGACUGAAACUGACGUUGAGGCUCGAAAGCGUGGGGAGCAAACAGGAUUAGAUACCCGAGUAGUC